GGGUUGUGAGGUUAAGCGACUAAGCGUACACGGUGGAUGCCCUGGCAGUCAGAGGCGAUGAAGGACGUGCUAAUCUGCGAUAAGCGUCGGUAAGGUGAUAUGAACCGUUAUAACCGGCGAUUUCCGAAUGGGGAAACCCAGUGUGAUUCGUCACACUAUCAUUAACUGAAUCCAUAGGUUAAUGAGGCGAACCGGGGGAACUGAAACAUCUAAGUACCCCGAGGAAAAGAAAUCAACCGAGAUUCCCCCAGUAGCGGCGAGCGAACGGGGAGGAGCCCAGAGUCUGAAUCAGUGUGUGUGUUAGUGGAAGCGUCUGGAAAGGCGCGCGAUACAGGGUGACAGCCCCGUACACAAAAAUGCACAUAUUGUGAGCUCGAUGAGUAGGGCGGGACACGUGGUAUCCUGUCUGAAUAUGGGGGGACCAUCCUCCAAGGCUAAAUACUCCUGACUGACCGAUAGUGAACCAGUACCGUGAGGGAAAGGCGAAAAGAAC
This 493-nucleotide ribosomal RNA is filed under the name Escherichia coli. RNAcentral describes it as "partial 23S ribosomal RNA". It matches the Rfam family "Bacterial large subunit ribosomal RNA", at positions 1 to 524 of the family's 2925-position model. The record is from RNAcentral. Lineage: Bacteria; Pseudomonadati; Pseudomonadota; Gammaproteobacteria; Enterobacterales; Enterobacteriaceae.